This 69-nucleotide transfer RNA is filed under the name Sphaerodactylus townsendi. RNAcentral describes it as "tRNA-Ala". It matches the Rfam family "tRNA". Rfam says of the family: Transfer RNA (tRNA) molecules are approximately 80 nucleotides in length. Their secondary structure includes four short double-helical elements and three loops (D, anti-codon, and T loops). Lineage: Eukaryota; Metazoa; Chordata; Lepidosauria; Squamata; Sphaerodactylidae. The record is from RNAcentral.
GCAGUGGCUCAAUGGUAGAGCAUCUGCUUGGCAUGCUGAAAGUCCUAGGUUCAAUCCCUGGCACCUCCA